This 456-nucleotide unclassified non-coding RNA is filed under the name uncultured Mortierellaceae. Its description in RNAcentral is "sequence contains ITS2". The stretch from base 1 to 154 matches the Rfam family "5.8S ribosomal RNA". Lineage: Eukaryota; Fungi; Mortierellomycota; Mortierellomycetes; Mortierellales; Mortierellaceae. The record is from RNAcentral.
AACUUUUGGCAACGGAUCAUUUGGCUCUCGCAUCGAUGAAGAACGCAGCGAAAUGCGAUACGUAAUGUGAAUUGCAGAAUUCAGUGAAUCAUCGAAUCUUUGAACGCACAUUGCGCUCUCUGGUAUUCCGGAGAGCAUGCUUGUUUGAGUAUCAGUAAAACACCCUCAAUUCUCUCGUUUUUCGAGGAAAUUGGACUUGAGUGAUCCCAACGGCGGCUUUAAAAACUGCUGGCGGGCCACUUGAAAUGCAGGUGCGGCUGGACACAUCUUCUGAGCUAUAAGCAUUACUUAUUUAAUCCCGUCAAACGGAUUAUUUCUAUUGCUGCAGCUAACAUAAAGGUUGAUUGUCCUUGUGCCCGACUGAUGCAGGAAAACAAAGAGAAAAUCUUUGUUCAACUCGAUCUCAAAUCAAGUAAGACUACCCGCUGAACUUAAGCAUAUCAAUAAGCGGAGGCU